AGGGGCGCCGUCGGUAGUUGGUUGGUACGGUACCCGGUCGGCUGCCGGCUGGUCGCAGUGGUUUUUGGUGGUGAGUGGCGGCUAAGUGGGCCGCGACGCUGGGUAUUUUUUUAAGGGUCUGUUUAGAUUGGGGAUGAAAAUUUUUUAGGUGUCACAUUGGAUGUGUUGGAAGGAUUUCGGGAGGGAUUUUUAGAAACUAAUAAAAAAACAAAUUACAUAGCU
RNAcentral lists this long non-coding RNA (222 nucleotides) under Sorghum bicolor (sorghum). Its description in RNAcentral is "long non-coding RNA (SBIC_LNC000628)". Lineage: Eukaryota; Viridiplantae; Streptophyta; Magnoliopsida; Poales; Poaceae. The record is from RNAcentral.